GUCAUAUCACGUUGAAACACCAAAAGAUCACCGAAGUUAUGCAACCUUGAAACUGGUCACUACUUGGAUGGGUGACCGCUUGGGAAUACCAGGUGCUGUAA
Molecule: non-coding RNA, 101 nt
Organism: Acanthosepion pharaonis
Lineage: Eukaryota; Metazoa; Mollusca; Cephalopoda; Sepiida; Sepiidae
Source: the annotation of a GenBank genome assembly